This 660-nucleotide ribosomal RNA is filed under the name uncultured Actinomycetes bacterium. RNAcentral's name for it is "bacterial SSU rRNA". It matches the Rfam family "Bacterial small subunit ribosomal RNA", at positions 232 to 885 of the family's 1533-position model. The record is from RNAcentral. Lineage: Bacteria; Bacillati; Actinomycetota; Actinomycetes.
CGCGGCCUAUCAGCUUGUUGGUGGGGUGAUGGCCCACCAAGGCGGUGACGGGUAGCCGGCCUGAGAGGGUGGGCGGCCACACUGGGACUGAGACACGGCCCAGACUCCUGCGGGAGGCAGCAGUGGGGGGUAUUGCACAAUGGGCGGAAGCCUGAUGCAGCGACGUCGCGUGAGGGAUGGAGGCCUUCGGGUUGUGAACCUCUUUCUCCGGUGGUGAAGGCCCUGUCCGUUGCGGCGGGGUUGACGGUAGCCGGGUAUGAAGCGCCGGCUAACUACGUGCCAGCAGCCGCGGUAAUACGUAGGGCGCGAGCGUUGUCCGGAAUUAUUGGGCGUGAAGGGCUUGUAGGCGGCCGGUCGCGUCCGCCGUGAAAUUCUCCGGCUCAACCGGGGGCUUGCGGUGGGUACGGGCCGGCUGGAGUGCGGUAGGGGAGGCUGGAACUCCUGGUGUAGCGGUGGAAUGCGCAGAUAUCGGGAGGAACACCGGUGGCGAAGGCGGGUCUCUGGGCCGUUACUGACGCUGAGGAGCGAAAGCGUGGGGAGCGAACAGGAUUAGAUACCCUGGUAGUCCACGCCGUAAACGUUGGGCACUAGGUGUGGGGCCCCGCUCGGCGGGGGUCCGCGCCGCAGCUAACGCAUUAAGUGCCCCGCCUGGGAGUACGG